RNAcentral lists this ribosomal RNA (759 nucleotides) under uncultured bacterium. RNAcentral describes it as "bacterial SSU rRNA". It matches the Rfam family "Bacterial small subunit ribosomal RNA", at positions 44 to 805 of the family's 1533-position model. The record is from RNAcentral.
GCGCCUAACACAUGCAAGUCGAACGAAGCACCUUACUUGAUUCUUCGGAUGAAGGUCUGGUGACUGAGUGGCGGACGGGUGAGUAACGCGUGGGUAACCUGCGCUGUACAGGGGGAUAACAGCUGGAAACGGCUGCUAAUACCGCAUGAGCGCACGAGGAGACAUCUCCUAGUGUGAAAAACUCCGGUGGUACAGGAUGGGCCCGCGUCUGAUUAGCUGGUUGGCAGGGUAACGGCCUACCAAGGCAACGAUCAGUAGCCGGUCUGAGAGGAUGAACGGCCACAUUGGAACUGAGACACGGUCCAAACUCCUACGGGAGGCAGCAGUGGGGAAUAUUGCACAAUGGGGGAAACCCUGAUGCAGCAACGCCGCGUGAGUGAAGAAGUAUUUCGGUAUGUAAAGCUCUAUCAGCAGGGAAGAUAAUGACGGUACCUGACUAAGAAGCUCCGGCUAAAUACGUGCCAGCAGCCGCGGUAAUACGUAUGGAGCAAGCGUUAUCCGGAUUUACUGGGUGUAAAGGGUGCGUAGGUGGCAGUGCAAGUCAGAUGUGAAAGGCCGGGGCUCAACCCCGGAGCUGCAUUUGAAACUGCUCGGCUAGAGUACAGGAGAGGCAGGCGGAAUUCCUAGUGUAGCGGUGAAAUGCGUAGAUAUUAGGAGGAACACCAGUGGCGAAGGCGGCCUGCUGGACUGUUACUGACACUGAGGCACGAAAGCGUGGGGAGCAAACAGGAUUAGAUACCCUGGUAGUCCACGCCGUAA